UUCUUUUUAAAAAUUUUUGUUAUUUUUACUUUUCUAAUUUAAAAUACUAUUUUUUUUGUGAGUGAAAUAAUAAAAAAAAAUUAAUUUUCUCUGAAUUUAAAUAAAUAAUGAUUAUAGCCAAAGAGUAUAAUGAAAGUUGUAAAUUUUACAAGAUUUUUCCCUGACAUAAUGUAAUUUCGAACAUGAAGCUAAGCCGUUUAUUAAUUUGCAAUUGGUUAAUGGUCGUGCGGAAUAUUGGACAUGGAGGCUGGAUGGUACAUGAUAAAUCAAUAUCAAUGGCAAAUUUAUCAUUAAAAAUAUUGUAAAAAGGGAGAGAAAAAAAAAGAAAAUAAUAUGGAAACGGAGUUAAAGAGGGACAAAUUCUACGUAUCUCUCGUAUAUAACCUAAUUCAAUUCCUUCAUGUUUUUUUUUUUUUAGUUUUAUUAUUUAAUUGGUUAAUCUUAAAAUUUAUUAACAGUUCAUACUAUUCAUUAGUUUAACGUUUUCAAUUCAUUUACAUAGUUCAUUUUAGCAGGUUCGGUUUAUUAUACAGUUACGCGGUUCUCGCUAUUUACAUGCAUACUUAUACAUACACAUAUUCAAUUUAAUGUUUCACAAACACACAUGUAUACGUACGUACAUACAAAUACAUACAUUCUGUGAUUUAUGAUCUUUGUGUAAAUGUUCUAUGUUCCGUUUCGCCUGAGAGUUGCUGAUUGAAUGACUGAUUGCGUGUCUGUUUGUCUGUCUGUGAGGGCUUCUAUACAUAUAUAUUAAUGUCCUAGAGUGCUCACCUCCUUUUUAAAUUGACCGUUUUAAUUUUAUUUUAAAAAGUUUUGCGUAAAAUUUUUUUAAAAUUAUUUUUAUUUUUUUAUUUUUUAUCCAAAAAUCUCAUUUUUCUAUUAUAGAUUGGAAAUUCGAUUUUUGUUUUAUUUUCUAUUUAAAAUUUGUAUUAAUUUCAUUUUUUAAAUUUCAUUUUUAAAAUUUUAUUUUUGAAUGUUUAAAAUUUUGUUUUAGAAAAUUUCUUUUAUAAACUUAUAUUUUGUAUUUCAAUGGCGGAUUAUUUAAUUUAGAAAUUAAAUUUGAAAAUUAACAUUUCUGAAUAUUUUUAAAUAGUUUUAUUAACAGAAAUAAUAAUUCGUUUCUUUGUUAUCUCGAAAAAAUUUUUAAGACAAAAGUGAACACUCAUUCUCUCGUUCUGCAAAUUAGAUAUAAAAAAAAAUAAAAUAAAGAAAACAAAAACAACUCAUUUACGACUUUGACCAUAAUGUGAUUUAUUUCGUGUAUUAAAAGUCAAGAUAUAUAUAUAUUUUUUUUGGAGGAGAAAAUGAUAUAUAAAAUCCGAGGCACGUCUUUUAUUUUCUUUUUUUUCGGUUCACAUUCUUUUCUGUCUCUCCAUAAUUCUUUUCUCUCUACAAGGACCAAUUGUUUGGGAGCAAAGAUUGCCUAUUACGCGAAGGUAUUACAGAAAACAUCGUUUUAGUUUUUUUUAUUGAUCGUUUGAAAGCCAUUGAUCCGUAAUAAAACCGGAAAUGAAGACGAGUCGAAUUUAGAUGAAAGUUCGCGGCCUAGAAACGAAUCCCAUCGACACCGCUUUUUAGAGUACCCAUUAAUCUUUUAACAACACAAAAAAAAAAAAAAAAAAAAAAUGCCAAUCACUAGAAAUUUCACCAAACUAAUUGGAAUUGGAAUUUUUUAUACUCUUGAAAUUGUAUUUGUGUCUUUGUUUUCUAUUCAAAUAAAAAAAUUUCUGCAAAUGUAACAUUGAAUCUAAAAAAUUUAAUAAAUCAUCUAAAACUGAUUUACAAAAAUAAUUAACAGUUGUAGAUUUAAAAGAAAUAAAAAAUUUUUUUUUUUUAAAUAUUGUGUUUGUGUUUAGCGAUAUUAAGUAAAUAUUGAUAUUUAUUUUCAGUACAUAUUGACUUGGGUGCAUUAGGUAAAAGUCGUAAAUGAGUCGGGUUGUUUGAUAACGUCGGCAAAUCGAUUAUUAUCACAGAAAUUAUUUACAUUUUUUUUUUUCACUCUUUAUUUUGCAAAAGUUAUUUUUCAUCAGAAUUAUUUAUGAGGACAAACGAGAAUCGGGUCGUCGCGCGUAUAUCUCGAUUUGAGUCUUUUGUUGGCAUAAAUUUUUUUUUUUUUAUUUUUUUAUUAUUUUUCAUGAAAAAUCUAGCCGACCUAUAGAUAGUAGAGAAAUAGAUGUACAGAGAGAGAGUGUGAUGCUGAUUCUUGGUCCAAUCAGUAUAAUGCAAGAACUCAGCGAAAAAUUACCCUGGUUUUUGGCAUAUACAUAUUUAUAUAUACAUAUAUAGCAAAUAACGUGAAAUAUAUUGUGAAAUUGCUUAUUUCUCUAUAUAAUAGAAAAAAAAAAAUUCCUGAUUGGUCGAUCUUAAAAUUUUUGCCUUAUACUGAUUGGAUAGACUAGCAGAAGGACGUGCCAAAGUCAAUAAUUUCACGUUCUGCUGCAUAAUCUUUCUUUUAGGGGGGGAUUCGCGAGAAAAAAAAUAAUCAAAUUGAAAAUUUUCUAUAUUGAUUGUCUCGUACAAAAAAUUCAUUACGGAGAUUUUUUCUUUUUUUUUAAGGGGCUAUUUGGCAAUUAACAAAUAUUAAAUUAUUUACCACUGUAAAAAAAGGAUUUAAUCAUUACUAGAGAAUUAGUAAUAAAAAAACACGACUUUUUAAAGUAAAUUUAAAACUCUUUCCAGUGUCCAAAUUAAAAACUUUCUUUAGAAAAAGAGUAAAAAUUUUUCUUUAGUAAAUUUUUUUUUUAAAAGUUUUGUUAUAGAAAACAAAGUUGCCAUUGUUAUAAUGAAUUUUUUCGAUAAAAAUGAGUAUUUUUUUGUAGUAAAAAAAAAAUUGAAAAACUAGUACAGCAAAUCGAGGAUUAUUUGAGUUUUUGAAAAAUUUAAAAAAAAAAGUGGUAAGAUUAGCAGAUACAUCAAAAUUGGUAAUUAUUGACCCAGGGGGGGGAGGGUAAAAGAGUACGACGGCAGAUUCUAUUGCUUGUCCUUUUUUUUAUUUACAGAAUCUUUUAUACCGUUUUACAUAACGCUCACACCGGUUUUUUUUUAAAAUUUUUAAAUAAUAUUUUAUUACUAUUUUAUUAUAUUACUAUUAUUAUUUUAUUAUUAGUAUUUAUUAUUAAACGCUCGAUCGAGAGGCAUUUAGGUUUGGAUUUUUACACGUAAAAACUCUUUUUUUUUUUUUUUUUAAUGCUACCGAAGUCGGUUAUUUACGAAUAUGUAUAACGUGGGUUUUUUUUUAUUUUUUUUUAUUUUUAUAUAUUAUCAACAUUCAUUACACGCAUUUUCACUUCUUUUUUUUUAAUAUAAAAUCCUUUUAUCUAUAUUAUUAUUGAUAAAGUAUAUUUUUUUUUUUGUUUUUACUCGAUUCGAUUUAACUAGCAUAUUAAUCCUUUUUUUAUGUUUUUUUCUUUUCGAUUCUAAUAUAUUUAUAUAUAUUAUAUAUAUAGGUAUAUUUGAGCCUUAAUUGUCGAUCGUCCGACGAGAGUGUCCUGCCUGCAGAUUUAACGCUUGUCAUCACGAGGCAGAUGAUCGGUAUAAUAAUUUUUAUCGUUUACUAUAACGAAUUUUCCCUAAUACAGUAAAUUUAUAUUAUUUACUCGUCGUCAAUUUUUUUUUUCCUCUCUAUUCAAAUUUUUUUUUUUUUUAAUUAUCUAUCGUUGUUACACACAACAUCAAAUUAAACAAAAAAUCUAUAUUUACUUUUUUUUUUUUUUUUUAAUAGAAAGGGAAUAUUUCCCUAUAAUUAUAGUUUGAAAAAAUGAAAGUCCUCUAAUCAGUUUCCUAAUUAGAUUGCCGUAUAAUUGAGUUUUAAAACGUAUUCCUAUGGAUACUGACUAGAUAGUGAUAGUUUAUUAAUUAUAUGCGGUUUAUAAUUGUUAGAUUUAUGAACUUGGAUCGCGUUCUCACAUAUAUCGGCAUUUUUAAUUAAUUUUUUUUUUUAUAUAAUCAAUUCGCCUAGAAAGAAUCGCCUCUCGUUUGGAAUCUUGUGUUUUUUUUUAUCGUCGAUAUUCUGCUUUUUUUUUUUUUAUUGUGAAAAAAAUAACCCUCGAAUUAUUGAUAAAAUUUAAUUCCACGCCGACAUAAUAUAUAUUUAUAUAUUUAUGAAACUUUUAAGACCAGCUUAAAAAAUUUUCAUUUGAGUUUAAUUGCUAGUUUUAUUAUUACACAGUAUUGUCGUGAGGAAAUAAUUUUGCAAUAUAAAGAAUAAAGUAUUUUCCUACAAACGCAGGGAUAUUUUUUUUUUUUUUUUUUUUUGGUUCAAGAGGGUACUUUGUUAAAUUUUAAAAAGCAAAAACCCCUUCAGGCGUUUUUUUUUUCCUUUUUUUUUUUUGCUUUCUCAAUUUGCAAUUAUGAGAUUUCAUAUCGAUGUUCGCAGUCUCGUCUGAUUUUCAUUUUACUUUGACAAACAGAAAGAACUCAUUUUUUUUCUUGCUUGAUAAAUGAGCUUUGCGAAAGUAUAUAUAUCUCGCGUCUAGGUGGAACAAAAAGAAAUACUCAAUUUCUGUCGAAUUAUUUGACUUUUAGAUAAAAAAAAAAAAAAAGAAAAAAAGAAAAAGUAGAAUGUGAUUUUGAAAUUGAAACUGUAAUAUUUAGUUUAAAGGAAUUUAAAUAUAUUUCGAUUACGGGCUGUAUGAUUAUAUCAUAAAAAAUUAUUAAUUAGAAUUUUUAUUUUUAUAGAAUUUUAUUAGAAAUUUUUUUUUUUUUUUGAUGAAUUUUCGAAUUUAGCAUUUAAUGGAAUUUCUUUUUAUACGAAUUUUUAUAAAAUUCUCAUUUGUCCGAAUUUUUAUUUGUACAAAUUUAUAAAUUUUUUAAGAUCCCGAAUUUUAAUUUGUCCGAAAUUACAAAUGACGAUACUAACAAUCGACAGAAAGAUAUGGGCGCAAUUUUUAAAAUUGACGAAUUAGAAAUUAUUAAAAACAUCUUGAUUGAUCAAUUUUAAAAAUUAUGCCGAAUUCUUUUUGUCGAUUGUUUGUUCUGCCAUUUAUAUACUUUUGGACAAAUGAAAAUUCGGCAUCUUAAAAAUUGUAGCAUAAUUAAAAAUUCGGACAAACUAAAUUCAUUAUAUUAGAAUUUCUGUCAUUUAAAAAUUCAAAUCAAAUUCUAUUAAAUUAAAAUUCUUUUAAUCAUAUUUUUAAAAAACGAUUGAUGAUUGAUUUUAAUUCCAUAGAAAAUUGUGAUUUUUUUUUUUUUUGAAUCGAACAUGAAAUUAAAUAUUUUUCUUGUUUUUCUUUUUUCACAAUUUAACAUUUGUUUAAACAAUUAUUUGUACUUCGUUUCCGAGUAUUUUUGUUUGAAUGCGGUGAAAAUGUGGUUUUUGUGAGUAAAAGUGAAGAAGCAAAACUGUUGAAAAUAGAAGAUAUGUCAGGAAAGUUGAUGUUUGCAAGAAGCACUUAGAACUUGGCGAAUUUCGUCUCUGCUCGACAUGGUAAGCAAUUUCUCCAUCUCGGAUGUAAUAUUCCGCAGUACGCUUAGUUUGACUUUGGACACCGAAAACUGGAAAGCAUCGACAUAGUUUCCGACAGCGGUUGGUUUGGGUCUCUCUCUCUCUCUCUCUCUCUCUCUCUCUCUCUCUUGCUCUCUCGCUCACUCUCCCAAGUUUGUUGGCUUAAAAUAAGUUUAUAAUGGUCAUGUGAUCUCUGAAUUCGUAUACCGCACGUUGCAAGUUAGGGACAUAUAAGGGCGUGCCAAAAAGGGUGUGGGGAAUUUCCUACUAGAGAGAGAGAGAGAGAGAGAGAGAGACAGAGAAGUUGGAAAUUUGACACGUUUGCAUCACAUGGACGGGAGAACUUUGCAUAUUGCACUAUAUGCCAAAAUGGCUGAUACAAAGGACCAUCCCUUUUAGAUCCUUGCAUAUAUAUAUAUAUAGGAUUUAUGAUAGCCUUGUGGUCAUUUUCAUUCUCCUCUGUUAGCUCAACUUGUUUAUAUCUUUUUUUAUGUCACGGAAAUUAGGUUUUUGUAACAAUUUUUUUCUGCCGAAAUUCUUGUAAUUGGAUCUUGCAAAUCAAAUUUUAAUUUUUAAAUUAAUUACUUUUUUUUAUUAUUUUGAUCAUCUUAAUUAUUAUUAAAUUAAUUACUUUUUUUCAUCAUUUUAAUUAUUAAAUUAAUAUAUUGUGUUUUUAGGUAAUGCAGUCAGAAAAAGGUUCUAAAUUCUACAAAAAAUGUUGAAAUCAGUAGUAAAAUAUCGUUUUAGUCAGACUUUACAUUAUUCUGAAUUUGGUGUCAGUAGUGAUAGUGUCAUUUAUAGUCAAGACAAAAUAUUUGAAAGUAUUAUUUUAAUCUGGUAGAUAGGUUACGAUUUUUAUAACUCUCUAAGUAGUAAAAUACCAUUUUAGUCAGACAAAUUAUUUUAAAUUUAUACUAUUUAAAAUCAGUAUAGUAAUGAUUGUUUUAGUCAGACUGGUUUUGUUUUCUAUUAGUAAUAAAAGAAAGUUUCAGUAAGGCUCUUCAAUUUUUGUGUUUGGUAUUAGUUGAAAAACACAGUUUCUGUAAGUAGUAAAAUACAGUUUUAGUCAGACAUGUUUAUUUCAUAUCCUUGCUAUUUAAAAUCAGUAGUUAAGGUGGUUUUUGUCAGACUAAAUAAAUUGUUUUGGUUUUCUAUUAGUAGUAAAAGAAAGUUUCAGUCAGACAAUUUUUAAAUAUAUUUUUGUUCUUAGUAGAAAAAGUACUUUAAAGUGUCAUUUUAAGCGUAUCUUUUUUUUUUGACAGAAAUGAAUCAAUUUUUCCAAUUAUUAUAAAUUUUUUUUUUUUUAAUAUUUAUAUAAGCUUGGUCUGUAAUUCGGGAUAUAUAAGUUGAGGUUGGAGAGUUGAUUUAAAAUUCAUCUGGCUUUGUUCCCACAUGUGACAGACAUUUGAAAUCGACAGCACACGUUUGUGUCGAUUGUGUCACACUUUCAAAUUCUGGUCCCCAAUACACAGAGAAAAGAGAGAGGGAGAGAGAGAGAGAGAGAGCUGAACAUUUGAGUUUGAUACUCUAUCAUGUACAUAUGCAUGUUUUGUUUGUAGACGAACUCGAAACACAUCCGAGUCGGACAGAGUAAACAGUCAAGUUGAUUGGGAAUCGACAUAGACUGCUUGUUCCCAUUUGGAUCUAAUACUUAAAGGGAUAUGUGAAUAAAAUUUUUUUUUCGUCAACGAAACUCUCCUUCCUUUCCAUUCUAUCUCUAUGAGGAAAUAGUUUUUUUUCUUCUAUUUUUCAGUACUUUUUCCAUUGUCCGAACUGUAACGAGCUUUGUUAAUUUUAAUUCCAUUCUCUAUUAUAUUUCAUUUUUCAUAUCUCAGUUAUUUUUUUUUUUUAUCACAGCGAAACAAGUUUUAAUUUUGUAAUUUUUUGUUUUCUGUAAUAUUUAGUGUUUGAUUUAUUUAAAUAAUUAUUUUUUUUUUCAAUAAAGAAUCUUGAUAAUUAUUCUUGUUUAUAAAUUGAAGAAUACUAGUUCUUAAAAAGGAAGACAUUAAAAAUUCACUGAUGAAGAUUAUAUUUUUGAAAAGAAAUUAUUUUUAGAAGCGUCGAGAUAUAUAUAUUUGGUCCUAUCUAUUGACUCAGUGGACUUUGAAAACUUUGGAUUGGAAAAAGUUUAAGGUCACUGAGACUCGCGGGAAAAAGACUAAAUUGGGAGAAGGAAAGAAGUACAAAUGAUCUUUUUCACAGUUGACGAACUAUCGAUUUUCGUGACUUUAUAUAUACUUGUGCGCUCAACAAGCAAGAGUUCUUUCUUAUGUUUGAGUUUUCUGAUAGAAGAGAAUCAAGUAAUGUUUUUCAAUUAGACAAGAAAUUCGACUUUAAGAAAGGCAAAAGAAAAAAAAAGUUUUUUAGCUAAUCAAUAUUAUUGUAUUUUAAACAGAAAUAGAGAGAAUUCUUUAUUCUUGCGAGGGAAAUUAAAUAUCGAUGACACUUUUUUUUUUUUUUU
Leptopilina boulardi is the source of this 7907-nucleotide long non-coding RNA. RefSeq lists it as uncharacterized. The transcript has 2 exons. NCBI's taxonomy places the organism in Eukaryota, Metazoa, Arthropoda, Insecta, Hymenoptera, Figitidae. The record is from RefSeq and is a predicted model, not a curated record.